UAGUAUGUUCCAUCCUGCAUCGUUUUUUUAACUUAGGUUGGAUUAACAAUUGCUUAGGCAGGUUGAUUGGAUGGCUUAAAUUCCAUCACCGGGGUAUAGCUUCUUGUUCUGUCUGUUCUGCUCUGUUCUAAAAGUGUGGAAGGCGAGGAUACUUAACUGGUUUUAUUGUUUUAUGUUGAUGUUUUUAGUAAACUAAUUCUGCAGUUACAUACUACAUGGAUUCAUUUACAAAAUGAAGAAGACCAGAUGCAGAAAGUCACAAAUUUCUCAUCAGGAUGCCUUCCUCUUUUUUUACACCUUGACUUUAAUCUUUUUUCUUUUUUUUUUUGAGAAAAGGUAGCAUGCUACCGCUUCAUUCAAAUAGAACUUUAACUAGGCUACAAGCUGAGGCAACUAGGCCUCGACGACGAAAAAAAAAAAAAAAAAAAAAAAAAAAANAAGUGUUUUUGAGAGAGUGUAUGUCCAUCGCCAAGAAGCUCACCGAACGUUUAGACUUCUCAAAAAUUCUUUUAUUUCUCUCCAGCCAAAUGACCCACCAAGUAGAUGCAAUUGUCGCUAGCUCCCUCUUUCUAAGUGCUCCUCACCUUGACUUUAAUCUUGUUGGCCUAUUAAAGUACAGUUCAUCAGUUUGUUCAUUGUUAAUUCUUACAUAUUGUUGACUUUUGAUGAUGCAGCAUUUUUGCCUUAU
RNAcentral lists this long non-coding RNA (688 nucleotides) under Ananas comosus (pineapple). RNAcentral describes it as "long non-coding RNA (ACOM_LNC018790)". Lineage: Eukaryota; Viridiplantae; Streptophyta; Magnoliopsida; Poales; Bromeliaceae. The record is from RNAcentral.